AGCCAGGGGAAGAUAUUCUUGGUUUAACCUGCCCAAUGUGUUAAAUAUGAAUGGCCGCGGUACUCUGACCGUGCUAAGGUAGCGUAAUCAGUUGGCUUUUAAAUGGAGUCGGGUAUGAAUGGGAAAACCGGGCUUAGCUGUCUCACAACUAUUUAUUCGAAUUUACUGUUUAGGUGAAAAAGCCUAAAAUUGGUAAAGGGACGAGAAGACCCUUAGAAUUUUAUUUAAGGUUGGUGUUAUACCUGCUGUGAUUUUGUUGGGGCGACAGAGAAAUAAUUAAAACUUUCUUUAAAUUUAUCAGUCGGAUUUUUCAGGUGAGUAUAAAUUACCUAAGGGAUAACAGCAUAAUUUUACUAAUAAGUUUGUGACCUCGAUGUUGGACUAGGGAGCUGUUGGGUUAGCUGCUCAAUAUGCGGAUUCUGUUCGAAUUUUUACCCCU
RNAcentral lists this ribosomal RNA (439 nucleotides) under Eubranchus rustyus. Its description in RNAcentral is "partial large subunit ribosomal RNA". It matches the Rfam family "Bacterial large subunit ribosomal RNA", at positions 1832 to 2597 of the family's 2925-position model. Lineage: Eukaryota; Metazoa; Mollusca; Gastropoda; Nudibranchia; Eubranchidae. The record is from RNAcentral.